CCCGCACAAGCGGUGGAGCAUGUGGUUUAAUUCGAUGAUACGCGAGGAACCUUACCUGGGCUCAAAUGUAUGUUGACGUAUUCUGAAAGGGAUACUUCUUCGGACAAUAUACAAGGUGCUGCAUGGUUGUCGUCAGCUCGUGCCGUGAGGUGUCGGGUUAAGUCCCAUAACGAGCGCAACCCCUAUCAUUAGUUGCCAUCAGGUCAAGCUGGGGACUCUAAUGAAACUGCCUACGCAAGUAGUGAGGAAGGUGGGGAUGACGUCAAAUCAGCACGGCCCUUACGUCCAGGGCUACACACGUGCUACAAUGGCCGGUACAAAGGGCAGCUACCUGGUGACAGGAUGCUAAUCUCAAAAGCCGGUCUCAGUUCGGAUCGGAGUCUGCAACUCGACUGCAUGAAGUUGGAAUCGCUAGUAAUCGUAGAUCAGCACGCUACGGUGAAUACGUUCCCGGGCCUU
This 459-nucleotide ribosomal RNA is filed under the name uncultured Sphingobacteriales bacterium. RNAcentral describes it as "bacterial SSU rRNA". It matches the Rfam family "Bacterial small subunit ribosomal RNA", at positions 920 to 1382 of the family's 1533-position model. The record is from RNAcentral. Lineage: Bacteria; Pseudomonadati; Bacteroidota; Sphingobacteriia; Sphingobacteriales.